RNAcentral lists this ribosomal RNA (506 nucleotides) under uncultured bacterium. Its description in RNAcentral is "partial 16S ribosomal RNA". It matches the Rfam family "Bacterial small subunit ribosomal RNA", at positions 29 to 523 of the family's 1533-position model. The record is from RNAcentral.
AGUGAACGCUGGCGGUAGGCCUAACACAUGCAAGUCGAACGGCAGCACAGGAGAGCUUGCUCUCUGGGUGGCGAGUGGCGGACGGGUGAGGAAUACAUCGGAAUCUACUCUGUCGUGGGGGAUAACGUAGGGAAACUUACGCUAAUACCGCAUACGACCUACGGGUGAAAGCAGGGGAUCUUCGGACCUUGCGCGAUUGAAUGAGCCGAUGUCGGAUUAGCUAGUUGGCGGGGUAAAGGCCCACCAAGGCGACGAUCCGUAGCUGGUCUGAGAGGAUGAUCAGCCACACUGGAACUGAGACACGGUCCAGACUCCUACGGGAGGCAGCAGUGGGGAAUAUUGGACAAUGGGGGCAACCCUGAUCCAGCAACGCCGUGUGUGUGAAGAAGGCCUUCGGGUUGUAAAGCACUUUUAGUUGGGAAGAAAAGCUCAUGGUUAAUAGUCAUGAGUGCUGACGUUACCAACAGAAAAAGCACUGGCUAACUCUGUGCCAGCCGCCGCCGUAA